CCAAGACCUCACCCUUUAACAAUC
RNAcentral lists this non-coding RNA (24 nucleotides) under Arabidopsis thaliana (thale cress). Lineage: Eukaryota; Viridiplantae; Streptophyta; Magnoliopsida; Brassicales; Brassicaceae. The record is from RNAcentral.